This is a long non-coding RNA of Triticum aestivum (bread wheat), 3966 nucleotides long. RefSeq lists it as uncharacterized. The record is from RefSeq and is a predicted model, not a curated record. NCBI's taxonomy places the organism in Eukaryota, Viridiplantae, Streptophyta, Magnoliopsida, Poales, Poaceae. The transcript has 10 exons.
CAUAUAAACCCUGCUAGGCUACCUGCCUAGCGAGGGCAUCUGCAUCCCGCUUUCGAUCUCGCUCGCUCGAUCUACCUUGCUGGAGGUUUUUUACCGCGCUGUCAAUAAUCCCACGGCCUGUUUCUUUUGACGCUACUCUUUCUUGCUCAAGCGGAUGACGGGUGGGCCUUGUGCUCUCGCGGGCCUGAGCUUGGCAGUGUGCGUGCUUUGUGUGUGUCCCUGCGUUUGGGUGAACAAAAUAUUAACUGCGUCGGUCGCGUCCUCCUCCCCACCAAUCGCGCAUCCUCCUACCCACCAAUCCCCCAUCCUCAUCCAGCCCACCAAUCCCCGCCUCCUCCUCCCCACCAACCCUAGCCAUGCCCUCGCCGCCACCUUUCCUUCCCCGUUCAUCCUCUCCAGCAGCCGGCGCCACUUCUGUCUCUCCUCCUUUCUCCUUGUCACCAUCAUCGCGAGUGCCCACCCGUUGGAUCAGGUGGUCAGUGCGGGAUGCAAUAGCGCAUCUGGACGGAGGAGAACGCGACGAUUGCAUCUCCUGGCAACGGCAGGGAGGACGGAUGGAUGAGGAGGCGACAGCUCGAGAGUUUUUAUGGUGGGUGUGAAGGAUCUUGGGAAGGUGAGGAGGACAGAGGUGGGGGAAGGACUGUGAGUCCGGAGAAUCCAGGCUGCACAUAUAAAUCCUCUCCAUCUUCCUCUCCCUUUUGAUUCCCCCAGUUCUCCAGUAAUCUGAUUUUGAUUUCUUAUUUUUUUCCUAAGCACGAUGUGUGCAGAUCUGAGAAAGAAUAGAAGAGGAAGAAUACCAAGGAAGAGUUUGGUGAAGAACAAUAAGGUGACAAUGUGAGUUGCAUUGACAGAAUCCAUGUAUUAAGCUGAGGCAUUUUUGGCAGCUGCAGCAACCUGACAAUUAAUUUGUUCUCAUCCAAGGUAAUUUACUUCCCCCCUUUAUGUAUCAUGGAUGGAUAUAUGUGCUGGUUGGUUGUCAUUACUGAAGCUAGAAUUGUUGAUGAUGACUACCUUUGAGCAGGUUUACCGCUUGUCUUGCUAAUGUGAAUUUGUAUGUUUUCAUUUGUUUUUUCUUCUCCAUUUUUUUGUAUAAUCUAUGGACGUUGUAGGAUAAAUGUGAAUUAACAAUACAAGAACUUCCAGAAAGUAUUUUGCAACUUCAGAAAUCCAAAAUUAUGGUUCUGGUGUUAAUGAUCAGGAUGAUGCGAUAGCCUCUUUUGAUCCGUAUCUACUUUUUUCGAAGCUUGAAAGAUAUACUUGCAGCACUUGACUGAAAUGAUCUAACUUGUGUUUCCCUUUUUUCUUUUCAUUUCCAGAAUGCUUUGCUGCUAGCAUAACUGUGAUCCAUUUUUUACUCUACUUUUUCUUAAUCUAUAUACAUGAUUGCCAAUUUCCAACUUCUUAGUUACAGAAAAUAAAACAAAAUUCAGUUUAGAUGUGUCUGUUGUAGGCAUUAAAAGUUUCAUCAGAGCCCUCAUUCUGAACAUUGUUUAAAAUGACACCCUAUUGCCCUUGGUGCAUAUAUAGAUAUUACUUUUUACUUUUUAGUAGAAUAUGGAGCUCUUAUUUGUCGUAUAGUUUCUUUUUUCGUCUGUGCAGUUGUACAUCUUUGCUGCCCCUUUCCUUGGUGCUGACUGAGCUUUGCAUGUUUAUAUUUAUAUUUUCCUGCAUUCUCCCGGUGACCUUUUAUUUUGACAUAUCAAUGAAUUAUGCAUCUCACUCCUUCGGAAGCUAAUCUUUACAUUGACACUGCUAUUUGUCUUGAAAUCCAAAAUUAUGGUUCUGGUGUUAAUGAUCAGGAUGAUGCGAUAGCCUCUUUUGAUCCGUAUCUACUUUUUUCGAAGCUUGAAAGAUAUACUUGCAGCACUUGACUGAAAUGAUCUAACUUGUGUUUCCCUUUUUUCUUUUCAUUUCCAGAAUGCUUUGCUGCUAGCAUAACUGUGAUCCAUUUUUUACUCUACUUUUCCUUAAUCUAUAUACAUGAUUGCCAAUUUCCAACUUCUUAGUUACAGAAAAUAAAACAAAAUUCAGUUUAGAUGUGUCUGCUGUAGGCAUUAAAAGUUUCAUCAGAGCCCUCAUUCUGAACAUUGUUUAAAAUGACACCCUAUUGCCCUUGGUGCAUAUAUAGAUAUUACUUUUUACUUUUUAGUAGAAUAUGGAGCUCUUAUUUGUCGUAUAGUUUCUUUUUUCGUCUGUGCAGUUGUACAUCUUUGCUGCCCCUUUCCUUGGUGCUGACUGAGCUUUGCAUGUUUAUAUUUAUAUUUUCCUGCAUUCUCCCGGUGACCUUUUAUUUUGACAUAUCAAUGAAUUAUGCAUCUCACUCCUUCGGAAGCUAAUCUUUACAUUGACACUGCUAUUUGUCUUGAUCUUAUUUGUACCAUGGAGGAGAAUAACUCUUUAGACCCUACUGUAUGGUAAACUUCUUUGUUCAUCAGAUGUGACAUUUUUAUAACACUAUGUUUUCUGUACAGUUGGGAACUUCUAGAAAAAAUGACAUUUGGUUGGUUCGAUUCCAGAUUGGUCUCACCUUAUUCCUUUUAGAUGGAUGCUAUGGUCUUCCCUGCAGAUGCUGGCCAGUUAAGGUUUGUUGCAAAUAAUAGUGGAUGUUGGGCUGCCUCCACACCGCAAGAGAUGGAGAUGGUUGACGUCGGAACCGGUGGUUGAGGUCGAGUACGCCUCGUUGUCGUCGCCGUCUACAUCCGUUACGUGUGAGGAACUUGCUGUUUCUGGCACCAGAUUCAGCAAGGAGGAUAUCUAUGAGGCCUUUCAUUCUUGUGGGAUUCCCACACAUCUUGCAAGUUCAAGGGGGUGAGCUCAGCUGAAUGCGCGGCGACGUAUUGUACCUUUGCAAGCCGAGUAUCUUGCUCUAAUUUGUUGACAGGGUAAGAGGUCCAGUAGCCAGUGGUUCUUUCAGCACUUCUGAAAUAGUAUUCUUUUAUAUAUAAAAAAACUUAACUGGAAUUUAAGAAAGUUGACACUGCAUCUCUGAGGGCUCAAGAAAGAGACAAGAACUUGUGCUUCAAGCAGCGAAUAUAGCCAGCCUAGAUGAUUCAAAACAAGAACAAGUGUCGGGAAGUUACAGAUGAGGAAGUGCAGCUGGUACGGCCUCUCCGUUUUUGCCCCAAAUCAACCACGGAAAAAACUGCUGGACAAUCAACUUCUUGCCAAUUUAUAGUUGACUUCCUGCUAUGAUUCUCUUCCUAAAAGAAAUUGCAAUCAUCUUGAAACAAGCUACUAUGUGCAUGUCAGGGACAGAAGUUGCUAGAGAAAGCUCCGACAUUAUAAUCUUAGAUGAUGACUUCGCAUCUGUUGUGAAGGGCAAAUCUUCACUGAAUCUUGGAGAGUGAUGGAAGAUAAUGGGCCCAAGCUUUUAGGAACGCCAAGGAUCCAAUUUCAAGCUUUGGCCUCUUCCACAAAUUCGCCGUUCAAUCAGGAGGUGAUCAUUGCAUAGGUCUACUGGAAAUUGGUCCUAGAGGAGCUCUCCAUGAAGUUUCUACAAGAACCAAAAUCAAUCCUACAAGCAUCAGAUAUAUCAGAGGAAGCAUGGUUCCCAAGUGCAUUGCUUAAUAUUCAUGAAUGUUGUCUACAACCAUGGCCUUCCCAAAACAAGACAACACAAUUAUUCUCUGGAGGGACAAGGGAUCUGAUGAUUAUCCAGUGAACUGUAUGUCUUUGAAGGAGCUUUGCACUCAACAGAUGUAUACAUCUUUAAUCAAACUAAGAGUGGGAGAUAUGCAUAAACAUUUUUUGGGAUACAUAACCACUCUUCGAACCUUAGCCAGAUUCUUCAAUCUUUGGGGUUAAUCUUUUUGUGAAAAGAAUUUCAGGAACAUGGAAAAAUGGCCAACUUUGCUUUGUACAAAAAAGGUAGAGAUGAUAAUCUAUUUAUCUCUCACUGAACUACUCUGAAUUUUGUGGUACCUGGUGAAGUUUAAAAAAUGGUUAUUCCUUGCUACCUUUAAUGAU